UACGUAGGGUGCGAGCGUUAAUCGGAAUUACUGGGCGUAAAGCGUGCGCAGGCGGUCUGUUAAGACCCGAUGUGAAAUCCCCCGGGCUUAACCUGGGAACUGCAUUGGUGACUGGCAGGCUUUGAGUGUGGCAGAGGGAGGUAGAAUUCCGCGUGUAGCAGUGAAAUGCGUAGAGAUGUGGAGGAAUACCGAUGGCGAAGGCAGCCUCCUGGGCCAACACUGACGCUCAUGCACGAAAGCGUGGGGAGCAAACAGG
RNAcentral lists this ribosomal RNA (256 nucleotides) under uncultured bacterium. RNAcentral describes it as "partial 16S ribosomal RNA". It matches the Rfam family "Bacterial small subunit ribosomal RNA", at positions 524 to 776 of the family's 1533-position model. The record is from RNAcentral.